GGCUCUGUGGUCUAGUCGUAUGAUUCGCGCUUCGGGAACAUUCCCAUCUCUUCAUGAGAUUCAUUGUGCGAGGUCCCGGGUUCAAAUCCCGGCAGAGCCC
RNAcentral lists this transfer RNA (100 nucleotides) under Schizothecium vesticola. It matches the Rfam family "tRNA". Rfam says of the family: Transfer RNA (tRNA) molecules are approximately 80 nucleotides in length. Their secondary structure includes four short double-helical elements and three loops (D, anti-codon, and T loops). The record is from Rfam by way of RNAcentral. Lineage: Eukaryota; Fungi; Ascomycota; Sordariomycetes; Sordariales; Schizotheciaceae.